CAUCAACAGUCCGAGGCAAGGUGCUCUCACGAAUCGCACCUUCCUAUCUCGUCAAAACGUCCAAGAACUUCAGCGUUAUCUGGUUAAGUUCUGGAGUGAAGGCGGCCAAGAUUGGCGUUCGAAUCGGAGUUUCAAGAAAACGUGAUUUUCGGAGAGAGGGAGGAG
Long non-coding RNA from Cucurbita moschata (crookneck pumpkin), 165 nucleotides. RefSeq lists it as uncharacterized. The transcript is spliced from 3 exons. The record is from RefSeq and is a predicted model, not a curated record. NCBI's taxonomy places the organism in Eukaryota, Viridiplantae, Streptophyta, Magnoliopsida, Cucurbitales, Cucurbitaceae.